UAGUUGCGGCGGCUACACAUGCAGUCGAGCGGUAGCACAGAGAGCUUGCUCUCGGGUGACGAGCGGCGGACGGGUGAGUAAUGUCUGGGAAACUGCCUGAUGGAGGGGGAUAACUACUGGAAACGGUAGCUAAUACCGCAUAACGUCGCAAGACCAAAGUGGGGGACCUUCGGGCCUCAUGCCAUCAGAUGUGCCCAGAUGGGAUUAGCUAGUAGGUGGGGUAACGGCUCACCUAGGCGACGAUCCCUAGCUGGUCUGAGAGGAUGACCAGCCACACUGGAACUGAGACACGGUCCAGACUCCUACGGGAGGCAGCAGUGGGGAAUAUUGCACAAUGGGCGCAAGCCUGAUGCAGCCAUGCCGCGUGUGUGAAGAAGGCCUUCGGGUUGUAAAGCACUUUCAGCGGGGAGGAAGGCGAUAAGGUUAAUAACCUUGUCGAUUGACGUUACCCGCAGAAGUACUACCGGCUAAC
RNAcentral lists this ribosomal RNA (472 nucleotides) under Klebsiella sp. gx-115. Its description in RNAcentral is "bacterial SSU rRNA". It matches the Rfam family "Bacterial small subunit ribosomal RNA", at positions 37 to 501 of the family's 1533-position model. Lineage: Bacteria; Pseudomonadati; Pseudomonadota; Gammaproteobacteria; Enterobacterales; Enterobacteriaceae. The record is from RNAcentral.